Molecule: ribosomal RNA, 253 nt
Filed under: uncultured bacterium
Lineage: Bacteria
Description: partial 16S ribosomal RNA
Rfam family: Bacterial small subunit ribosomal RNA
Source: RNAcentral
CACGUAGGGCGCGAGCGUUGUCCGGAAUUAUUGGGCGUAAAGAGCUCGUAGGCGGCCUGUUGCGUCCGCUGUGAAAGCCCGGGGCUUAACCCCGGGUCGGCAGUGGAUACGGGCAGGCUAGAGGUAGGUAGGGGAGAAUGGAAUUCCUGGUGUAGCGGUGAAAUGCGCAGAUAUCAGGAGGAACACCGGUGGCGAAGGCGGGUCUCUGGGCCGAAACUGACGCUGAGGCACGAAAGCGUGGGUAGCAAACAGG